RNAcentral lists this small RNA (127 nucleotides) under Marmota monax (woodchuck). Lineage: Eukaryota; Metazoa; Chordata; Mammalia; Rodentia; Sciuridae. The record is from RNAcentral.
GCUGGGCAUGGUGGUGCAAGCCUGUAAUCUCAGCAGCUCAGGAGGCUGAGGCAGGAGGAUCUCAAGUUCAAAGCCAGCCUUACCAACUUAGCAAGGACUUAAGCAACUUAGUGAGAUCCCAUCUCAA